Molecule: long non-coding RNA, 416 nt
Filed under: Homo sapiens (human)
Lineage: Eukaryota; Metazoa; Chordata; Mammalia; Primates; Hominidae
Description: non-protein coding lnc-KIDINS220-11:2
Source: RNAcentral
UCCUUUCCACUAGAAGCGAGGUGUGUACUGCGUGCAUGUUUGCUGAGCGCUCACCACGGGCUAGGCUCCAUGCCCAGUUCCUGUGAGGAGAAAACACGUUUCUAUGUGCCCGGCAGGUAGGAGGCACUCACAAAAUGUUACUUUGUCUUUACAGAAUUUUCUGAAGGAGAGAUAAAAACUGAGUUAAAUAAAGAUGAUCAGAAUGGAUGAGAAAUAACUUUAGACAUUAUUUCAUUGAACCUUCCCAACUGAAAUUAUUUUAUGAUGUUAUAACAUGGAUAGUAACUCAAGUAGCAAUAAGUUACACAGUUGUGCCAUUUGUGCUUCUUUCUAUAAAACCAUCACUCACGUUUUACAGCUCCUGGUAUUAUUGCCUGCACAUUCUUGGUAUCUUAGUAUUAUUGUUGUUGCCAGUG